Non-coding RNA from Gasterosteus aculeatus aculeatus (three-spined stickleback), 476 nucleotides. Lineage: Eukaryota; Metazoa; Chordata; Actinopteri; Perciformes; Gasterosteidae. The record is from RefSeq and is a predicted model, not a curated record.
AGAACGAGAUGGGACGUAGUAACUCCACCUUACUUCUGAUUACUGAGUCUGGUGUUGGUAGAACAACAAGGAUAAUUCACAUCACCAGGUGGACUCUGGUCUCUGUGAUGCUGAUUCUUCUGCUUCUCUUUUGUCUGUGGACGAGGAAGAAGAAAGCUGUGAUCUCCACCACUGAACCACAUGAGUCCAGAGAGGCUGUGGAGGUGAGACAUUUGUCCUCAGAGACAGAACUCACCAAAGGGUCAUCGUAGAGAGUCUUGCUGCAACAAACCACACUGCAUGUUCUCCUGCAGGCUUAAUGUUAUUGUUGGAAUGCUUCAUAUGAGCUUUAGUCCUUUCUUUAAUAUUUGUUGGGAUGCUUUUAAGCCACAACAACUAAAGGUCUUGCAAACGUUUCUAGUUGUACUUGUUGUUUCACACCAGCAACAAACAAGGAUCUCACACAUCACACAUUAAUGAGAAUAAUUUAUAUUCAU